UCUUUCUAGAGGCGCCAGAGUUGGGCAGGAU
RNAcentral lists this non-coding RNA (31 nucleotides) under Mus musculus (house mouse). Lineage: Eukaryota; Metazoa; Chordata; Mammalia; Rodentia; Muridae. The record is from RNAcentral.